Molecule: ribosomal RNA, 469 nt
Filed under: uncultured bacterium
Lineage: Bacteria
Description: bacterial SSU rRNA
Rfam family: Bacterial small subunit ribosomal RNA
Source: RNAcentral
UCAGGAUGAACGCUGGCGGCGUGCCUAACACAUGCAAGUCGAGCGAUUCUCUUCGGAGAAGAGCGGCGGACGGGUGAGUAACGCGUGGGUAACCUGCCCUGUACACACGGAUAACAUACCGAAAGGUAUGCUAAUACGAGAUAAUAUGUUUUUGAUCGCAUGGUCGAAAUAUCAAAGCUCCGGCGGUACAGGAUGGACCCGCGUCUGAUUAGCUAGUUGGUGAGGUAAUGGCUCACCAAGGCGACGAUCAGUAGCCGACCUGAGAGGGUGAUCGGCCACAUUGGAACUGAGACACGGUCCAAACUCCUACGGGAGGCAGCAGUGGGGAAUAUUGCACAAUGGGCGAAAGCCUGAUGCAAGCAACGCCGCGUGAGCGAUGAAGGCCUUCGGGUCGUAAAGCUCUGUCCUCAAGGAAGAUAAUGACGGUACUUGAGGAGGAAGCCCCGGCUAACUACGUGCCAGCCGCAGC